UGAGGAAUAUUGGGCAAUGCCCGCAAGGGUGACCCAGCAACGCCGCGUGGAGGAUGAAUGUCGUAAGAUUGUAAACUCCUGUUAGAGGGGAAGAAUAGUACCGGUUGGACCGGUAUAUGACUGUACCCUCAGAGAAAGCCCCGGCUAACUACGUGCCAGCAGCCGCGGUAAUACGUAGGGGGCAAGCGUUGUCCGGAUUUACUGGGUGUAAAGGGCGCGCAGGCGGAAUGGAAAGUCGGUGGUGAAAUCCUACAGCUUAACUGUAGAACUGCCUUUGAUACUUUCAUUCUUGAGUUCGGGAGAGAGAGACGGAAUUCCAGGUGUAGUGGUGAAAUACGUAGAUAUCUGGAAGAACACCAGUUGCGAAGGCGGUCUCUUGGUCCGAUACUGACGCUGAGGCGCGAAAGCGUGGGGAGCAAACA
Molecule: ribosomal RNA, 422 nt
Filed under: uncultured bacterium
Lineage: Bacteria
Description: bacterial SSU rRNA
Rfam family: Bacterial small subunit ribosomal RNA
Source: RNAcentral